RNAcentral lists this long non-coding RNA (1705 nucleotides) under Phascolarctos cinereus (koala). Its description in RNAcentral is "lncRNA (ENSPCIG00000036078.1)". The record is from RNAcentral. Lineage: Eukaryota; Metazoa; Chordata; Mammalia; Diprotodontia; Phascolarctidae.
UCAGGAAAAUCACAGCUAUUCUUCCUCCUCUGUAAGGGUCAUUUGUGAGAUGACUCUGUCCUUACCUGCAGGAGUGCACAUGAUUGCCUGGGAGUAUUAAGGUGGAUCUGCUCAUGUCAAAAUAAAUGAGCAGAGGUGGUAACUAAGCUGAUGCGCAGGUGAGUUAAGUUACUCACGUGCAACGGCUCAUGACAUGUUGAAUAAGCACGAAUCCUCUUUGCUUUCGGGCAGGACAUGAUUGGCUUACUGCGGGAAGGGCUCGUGAAAAGGGUGGACGGGGAGAGGAUAAGAAGGAGGUACCCGGAAGGAAGGGCAGAGCCGCGUUAGUAGUCAGAGAUGUAACAAUGAAAGAGUAUACUCUGAAAGUAUGUUGGGGUGUUCUGUGGAGUCAUUUGUCCAGUGCAGCUGGAGCCGGAGACGUCCGAAGCCUGUUGAGGAGAGCUUUCUUUCUGAAGUUCUCAUGUGUUAUUGGCUGAACACUAAGAGAUGCAGAUAGCCUGGCAUCCCCUCAAAGAUAACACCAGUAUCAUUCAGCAAAACUUGGAAACAAGGAUGCAGGUGCCUUUCCUGCAUCCCAGACAGGCACAGCAAGGCCUUUACACUGCAAUGCACCCACUGCAAAGUAUGACUCCCCCUGCAAAGAUUUGUAUUGAAGACAAAAUAAGAAGACAAGAAAAGAGAAGGAAGGACGAUGGGAGGGUAUAGCAAAAAAUAAGAGUUGCAGAAUAAGUGGACCAGUGGAUAGAAAACUGGUACUGAAGUCAGGAAGACCUGAGUUUAAAUCCACCAUGAAACACUUAGCAGCUAUGUGACUUUGGGCAAGUCAUUUCACCACUGCUUGUUUCCUCAUCUGUAAAAUGGGGAUAAUAAUAGCAUCUACCUCCCAAGGUUGUUGUGAGGACCACAUGAGGAAAAAAAAAGCAUUUAGCAUAGUGCCUGCCAUGUAAUAAGCAGUAUAUAAGUGUUAGUUGUUGUUGUUGUUGUUGUUAUCAGUCUAAAUCAAUUUACCAAUUAUCAAGUUAUUGUUAUCAAUCUAUAUGUGCCACUGUUAAGAUCAAGAGGAGAGGGCAAUAGGAAAGCACCCAAAAGGGGGCAAGAAAUAGAUUUAAAACUGAAUUAUUUUCCCAGAGUUUACUCUCUAGCUGGGGGCUUAGAGCUAUAGAAGAAAAAGUUUUUGAUUCAUUUUUUAAUACUCAAGAUCAGAAAAGUAUUAUUUAUAUUGUGAUUGCCUAGCAAUGAGGUAGCAGUAGUGAAAGCUCUAGCUAGAUGGGGCUCAGUCAUCUUCAAAUGCUUAAUGUGAGGGAAAAUUCUCUUCCAAAGGGGACCCAAAGAAGUGAGUUAGAAAGUGUGAUUGAUAGUACUACCAACCUGUUCAUUAAUGCAGCAUGGAUAUUUAUCACCCCACCAUUGCUAACUGUAAAAUGAAAUGAUUAGAUUAAGAUCCAAGAUCACUUCCAGCUCUAAAUACUAUGACACUAUGAAUAUUUCUUUCUACAUAUGCUACAUGCAGUUUUGAAUUAAACAACUAAUCCUAUUAUCUAAAUAAUCCAAGCCAAAAACUCAUAGUCCCAUAGAAUAUACGAAGUGAGUGAAGUAUGUGACUAACAUCUACUUUCUAUAAACAAAAGAAAUGUUACAUACCAAAGCUCUCACCAGCUCACAUGGACAGAAACUUAAAACUGGAUCCAGUCGUUAUUUGUGGUGU